RNAcentral lists this ribosomal RNA (164 nucleotides) under uncultured bacterium. RNAcentral describes it as "partial 16S rRNA". It matches the Rfam family "Bacterial small subunit ribosomal RNA", at positions 355 to 511 of the family's 1533-position model. The record is from RNAcentral.
UAGGGAAUCUUCCACAAUGGACGCAAGUCUGAUGGAGCAACGCCGCGUGAGUGAAGAAGGUCUUCGGAUCGUAAAACUCUGUUGUUAGAGAAGAACACGAGUGAGAGUAACUGUUCAUUCGAUGACGGUAUCUAACCAGCAAGUCACGGCUAACUACGAGCCAG